MicroRNA precursor from Gadus morhua (Atlantic cod), 61 nucleotides. Ensembl annotates it as gmo-mir-26a-2. Its record names the gene gmo-mir-26a-2. NCBI's taxonomy places the organism in Eukaryota, Metazoa, Chordata, Actinopteri, Gadiformes, Gadidae. The record is from Ensembl.
UUCAAGUAAUCCAGGAUAGGCUGUGUUGUCCUGGUUGGCCUAUUCACGAUUACUUGCCCCU